GCUUCUUUCCAUGAUUUUACGUUUUCAGUUUAAAUUUAAAACAUAUUCGAGAUGGUACUAAAGCAUUACUAAUAAAGAGGUUAUUGGUUUUCGUUUGUAUAAGUCGCUAAGUUUCUUCCGUCCGGCCCGCUCGACUGGGCCGUGUUGAUCGUUCCCUGUCAACAGCCAACACUUCCCCUCCUACGCCAGAGAGCUUUUCCCCGCGGGCCGCGCAGGCAACUCCUCCUCCUCUCCCUCCGCCUCCCUUGCGUCGCUCGCCGGGCCCGAGGACGACGACGAGCCCUUCUAGGAGGAGGAGGAGGAGGGCACCGUCGAGCUCGUGCAGCUCGGCGCCAACCACGGCAAGAACGUCCUCAGCUUGCAAGGGUUGUGUUUGACUGGGUAGAGCAAGGACCACGCCGGCGGGCCGCUCAACAACAUGGGGGGCUCCUACAAGUUCAUGGUGAAGCACGUACAACUCUGGAAGGUGCCCUUCCACGGCACAUCGCCAAGAUGGUCUGAUUCCGAUUAUACAGCACUGCGAUACUACCUCUACUGAACACACGUGUAGCUACAAUUGAAGGAUCACAAAUAUAUGGUCCAGCAAUGCACGGUAAAUCUGUAUCCAGGCGGAUUCAGUCCAUCUCUUCACCAUCGUGAUCCACACCUACGACCUGGCUUGGUUGUGGUGCUAAUUCAGCAAUGCAAGUCCGAUCCCUUCAACUCUCAGGUGUCUUAUUCCACUACUUCAUGAUGAUGCGUGGGUGCGUACUUGGAUGGUUAUACUAUGUGAUUAAAUUGAUUUUUCAGGAUCCCCGACUCCCCAUGCAUACAUUGUUCACCAUACAAAGCUAAAAUACAACACUUUCAGAUGUCGUGCAGACUGUACAACACAAGCAUGGCAACAAGUGUAUUAAGAACAGAGAAAUCAUUGCAAAUUACCUGCUUGAUUUUUUUGGAUUCCAGCGUGACGGUGUGGCCGUCUGACUGGAAUUGAAAAUGCUGGUGUUGUUCUGAAUUCUGAUAAUGUUGAUUAGCAGGGAGAGGGUUCAGAGUAGGGAUGGCGGGGGCGUUUGAGUUGUACUGGCAGUCCGCCAUCGGCAGGGCCGUCAUGGAGACGCUGGACGAGAUGGUUCUUAGCCCCGAUCAUGCCAUCAGCGUCCAAGUAUAGUUCGAUGAGGUCUGACUGGCGUUUUGCUUGUCUGCGAAUCAAUCGGCAGGGCCUAUAAUAUCAGCAAAUUGUGUGUCGUUGGUUGUUUAUCCAUCCUGGUCUUCUUGUUGCUUUCAGUUCAUGAGCACUGGACAACCAGCUCAAGAGCAAGGCAUUCUUCAAGGUACUAUGUUGAUUCUUUAGAGAUCUCGUCUUCAUGAGACUAGCGAAGGGGGUAUACCUUAGGAAGAAAGGGAGAUGAGGAAUUAACCAGAUAGUAUAUGGGCUGAAUAAUUUUGAACUAGCUACUAUUUCUAAAUGGAGUGCCAUGUUCAAAUAUAGGAAGUGAAGUUGUGGUGGGUUCUGAGCCAUGCUUCAGGAUAGGGGUGUACCGUAUUAUUUUUCUCCCGUUGCAACGCACGGGCUUUUUUGC
Long non-coding RNA from Triticum aestivum (bread wheat), 1562 nucleotides. RefSeq lists it as uncharacterized. The transcript has 3 exons. NCBI's taxonomy places the organism in Eukaryota, Viridiplantae, Streptophyta, Magnoliopsida, Poales, Poaceae. The record is from RefSeq and is a predicted model, not a curated record.